GUGUCUCAGCACACAUGUUUAAAUUAGGAUGAUACGGGGAAGAUCAGGGUGGCCCCUGCUCAAGGACAACAUGCAAAUCCAAGAAAUGCCACAAAGUUUA
Molecule: small nuclear RNA, 100 nt
Filed under: Meriones unguiculatus (Mongolian gerbil)
Lineage: Eukaryota; Metazoa; Chordata; Mammalia; Rodentia; Muridae
Source: RNAcentral